Molecule: ribosomal RNA, 445 nt
Filed under: uncultured bacterium
Lineage: Bacteria
Description: partial 16S ribosomal RNA
Rfam family: Bacterial small subunit ribosomal RNA
Source: RNAcentral
GUAGGGAAUAUUGGGCAAUGGAGGCAACUCUGACCCAGCCAUGCCGCGUGCAGGAUGACGGCCCUCUGGGUUGUAAACUGCUUUUAUACGGGAAGAAAAAAUACUACGUGUAGUAUACUGACGGUACCGUAAGAAUAAUGAUCGGCUAACUCCGUGCCAGCAGCCGCGGUAAUACGGAGGAUCCAAGCGUUGUCCGGAUUUAUUGGGUUUAAAGGGUGCGUAGGCGGAUCUGUAAGUCAGUGGAGAAAGACUGCAGCUUAACUGUAGAAUUGCCAGUGAAACUGAAGAUCUUGAAUGUGGUUAAAGUAGGCGGAAUGUAUCAUGUAGCGGUGAAAUGCUUAGAUAUGAUACAGAACACCGAUAGCGAAGGCAGCUUGCUGAACCAUUAUUGACGCUGAGGCACGAAAGCGUGGGGAGCGAACAGGAUUAGAAACCCGUGUAGUCC